AGCUGUAAAAAAUCCAACUUGCAAAUUGCUAACUCAAAUCAAAAUUGUAAGUUGGGUGGACAUAUUUUGAGCUCAGUGUUGAGUUUACUUUUAAAAAUGAGUUAACUGAAGGUUUAAAACUGGUUUGUUCAAUGAAAGUAAAUACUUAAGUUGAGCAGACUUUACAUUUUGAGUUCUUCACUGGAUCAUCUACUUCCCGUCUUUGCACAUGCUCAGUCUGUCUUCGGGUGCCAUUUUGCACGAGGUGUCCUCUCACCAGCAGCAGCUGCCAUCUCCUGAUUCAGGUUUGGAAUGCAGUGUAAGUUUUGCAAAUUUGUAAACAGUAGCUGAGAAGUUACACUACAGACUACAUCGCUAUCAAGGAGCAUCCUGGCAGCAGCCUUGUUUGUUCGCAGACUGCUUCUGCACUUUAAAGACUCUGAUGUCCGAAAACAGUGGCCUGCAUGUUUUUGGGAGUUUAGGCAAGUUUGCAUUUGAGAUUAUUUAUUUCAAAAUGUAUAACCCUUGUUCACAAUUCAUACUAUUCAUUUUUUUAUGGUCUGUUUGUAGGUCUAUGCUGAGGUUUACAGGAUUACUCAAACCAACCUCAAAGAUACCUUCUCUUUUUCGGAUGAAUACGCUAUCAAGUUUUAUGGAUCAUGUGGUGGGCGAUAUGGAGAGAUAAUAAGGACCGCCCUGGACCAACUGGACAAUCAAGACACAGAGCCAGAAGAUAUUUGCACAAAAGAGAUGGAGAUGGACAUCCUUAGCACUGUUGAAGAUGAUGUUGCCACUCUUCAGACCAACCUAAAUGUAAGGUGCCUGUCUGUGGUUCUGGAAGAGCAAAUCGUGCUGGAAAAGAUCUUCCGACAGCUGUUGUUCUCCUCUUUGGUUUGAUUAAUUUCCUCAUUAUGAACUACCCCAAAGAACUGAAACACAUCUUUGAAACUAUUCAGAAAGUGUUUAUUGGCCUUGAUCCUCAGUGCUCAGCAAGAGUCCAGUCUUUCAAAAACAAAAUGCAUUUGUUUGUACACUGAAAUUGUGUUACUCUUGGUGUUGUCACGAAACUUAAAUUCAGUUUUGAUUUUACAUUUUCAAAUUUUAAAAACAUCCAUUUCCCACCAAUUGAUAGAUUGGCUGUUGUGUUCAAGAGCUCAACAUAAAUGACUGUGAUUGGCUGAGAAGUUCACCAUUUCACUGCUCUUCACUGAUGUUCAUGGAGUGCAAACACAGAUACACACACACACACACACACACACACACACACACAAACUGGAGUGUUUCAAAACGUCGCAUAGUUGAUCCAUCAGCGUAACACUUGUGUCAGCUUAUACACAGACCAGUUGAUCAAUGUGAAAUUCUUAAGUGUCCCUGUGUCUGUGGUUACACUCAGUAAACAGCAGUGAGUUUGGUGAACUGAUGAUCUUCACGCCCAAUCAGUCUUUUCUGUUGAGCAUGUGAACACAAUGGCAAUAUAACAGUGUUUAAAACAUGGUCAACAACGCUCAAAUGUUAGCAGGAAAUGGACGUUUUUAAAAUUAUAGAACUGAUGGGUAACAAAAUUAAAAUAUCGUGACAAAACUAAUUACUCUUUGUUACGAUAACCAGCGAUCAUUCUCUGGAGAUCGCUGGUUUCCUCUAUCAUCAUUCACUUCACUUCCCCAUUCCCUAGGACUACAUUUUCAUACAUGCACUUCUCCCAAUCACGCACGCCUGGUCAUUCAUCUUCCUGAUUACAUCACCAGCUGAAACCUGUCACA
This is a non-coding RNA of Danio rerio (zebrafish), 1739 nucleotides long. The record is from RefSeq and is a predicted model, not a curated record. NCBI's taxonomy places the organism in Eukaryota, Metazoa, Chordata, Actinopteri, Cypriniformes, Danionidae.